RNAcentral lists this long non-coding RNA (1340 nucleotides) under Homo sapiens (human). Its description in RNAcentral is "non-protein coding lnc-TCFL5-2:11". Lineage: Eukaryota; Metazoa; Chordata; Mammalia; Primates; Hominidae. The record is from RNAcentral.
CUGGCUCUGGCGCCUUCCAGCUGUGUGACCGGGCGAGGCCCUGAGCCUCUUGAGGGUUCAGUGCCCUCCUCCGUACAAUGGGCCAACAACAGCCCCUUCCCUGGGGAUCUCGGUGAGGGUUGGUUGCUCUGCAGGGUGCCCUGGGCCUGUGCCAGCGCGCUCAGGCAUCCUGGUGACCAACCACAGCUGGCACUGGUGAACGCAGCCUCUUAGCCCAGGCAGGCUCUGGUCAGCCUCACCUGCUGGGACCGCUGAGUGGUCCAAGAGCUGGCUUGGCUGACUGGGACCUGGGCCUCAGCUUCCCCAUCUGUGCAGGGGGCCGCUGGUGAUACCGGUCCCUGCCAUGCCCUGGUGGAGAUAUGGCCCAGUGAGACUUCGUGAGGGGUCUAGGCCACUGCUGUCACGUGGUACGUCUUCUACCCUGGCCCCUAGGUGGCCCUGGCCUCAGCCUUGCUCUAAAGAGGAAUGAAGCCCAGCCCACAGCCCCUUAGCACAGAUACGCUCGGGAGACGGGACCCUCACCGUUACUCAUCUCCUUACUGUUCCCUGGACACCUUGGGGUCCCUGCGCCUCUCCACCCGUCCCUGCCAGGUCCUCCUGCUCCACCACAGGCCAUCUCCCUGGGCCUCAUCCAGACAGCUGGACACUGAGCACAGCUCUGUUGUCCUCUUCCCUGGGCUGAGUGGACUCAGAGGUGCUGGGGACUGCAUGGCCGCCGGACGAGGCGGGGGCUUUCCAACCCAACACCACCGAGCCUGCCUCUUCCUGCCCUGGAUGCUAUGUCUUCCAUAGAGCCGCUUUUCCAACACAGCAGGUAUGAAGUAUCCACCGGCCAUCUGAAAAUAAUGCAGUAACUAAGAAAAACAGUGGCGAGAGGAAGGAGUGUCGAUGCCCCAAAUGGAUCAUCUUCCAGAGCACGUCUACACCGAGAUCAAGAAUGAAAAGGUCUUUGGAGUGAAUGCCUAAGGCCUCCAAGCCCCGGGUCUCCUCUGUAUCAGGCGCUCACGCUGUGGGAGCUGCUUUCUCUCUGCUCCACUUCUACAGAGAAAGAAAAUCACAAGCAUUUCCCACACUUCCCCCAAGCCUUGACGUAUCACAGUUCACUCAUGGAGUUGUCAACAGACACAGGCACACACAGACCAGACUGUGGGCUCGGGAGGCGGGAACAAACCCCUCCUUCAGGAGACCUGGCAGCAGGCCAGGGGGCGCCCCAGGGCCCACCCAGCGCAGGGGCAGGCAGCCGCUCCCUCCUGCCCCUCGCCUGCUCCAGCUGUGGGCACUGGGGGCUGCCCCUGGCCCACCCCGCCCUUCAUCCCCUCACCUCUGCCUCACCCCAUGCU